This 657-nucleotide ribosomal RNA is filed under the name uncultured organism. RNAcentral describes it as "bacterial SSU rRNA". It matches the Rfam family "Bacterial small subunit ribosomal RNA", at positions 663 to 1320 of the family's 1533-position model. The record is from RNAcentral.
GGAACUGAGGGAGGAGUAGUGAAAUGCGUUGAUACCCUCGGGAACACCAGUGGCGUAGGCGGAUCUCUGGGAGAAGAUUGACACUGAGACACGAAAGCUAGGGGAGCGAAGCAGAUUAGAGACCUGCGUAGUCCUAGCCGUAAACGCAUGCUUGCUAGCUGCAUGAAUCUACCUUCGGGUGGUAUCGUGUGGCGAAGGUAACCCGUUAAGCAAGCCGCCUGGAAAGUACGGCCGCAAGGCUGAAAUUCAAAGGAAUUGGCGGGGAGGCACACAACCAGUGGAACAUGUGGUUUAAUUCGAGACUAACCGAAGAACCUCACCAGGGUUUGACAUGUAGCUGCACGUCUUAAGAAAUUAAGACUCUCUUGAAGGUGCUACACAGGUGCUGCAUGGCUGUCGUCAGCUCGUUCCGUGAGGAGUGCCCUUAAGUGGGACAACGAGCGCAACCCCUAUUACAUGUUAGAAAUGUCAUGUAAGACUGCCUUGCCAUUUGGCGGGGAGGAAGGAGGGGCAGACGUCAAGUCCGCAUGGUCCUUAUGCCCUGGGCUACACACAUGUUACAAUGAGUACGGCAAUGAGUCUGUCGCGAGCACGUAAGUGUAAGCUAAUCUCUUAAAUGUACUCUCAGUGGGGAUUGAGGUCUGCAACUCGACCUCA